Molecule: transfer RNA, 752 nt
Filed under: Pseudomonas aeruginosa
Lineage: Bacteria; Pseudomonadati; Pseudomonadota; Gammaproteobacteria; Pseudomonadales; Pseudomonadaceae
Description: partial 16S-23S ribosomal RNA intergenic spacer
Rfam family: tRNA (bases 87-160)
Source: RNAcentral
GGGCAUGCGGCUGAUCCUCCUUAUCGAGAUCUCAGGCUUCUUCAUAAGCUCCCACACGAAUUGCUUGAUUCACUGGUUAGACGAUUGGGUCUGUAGCUCAGUUGGUUAGAGCGCACCCCUGAUAAGGGUGAGGUCGGCAGUUCGAAUCUGCCCAGACCCACCAAUUGUUGGUGUGCUGCGUGAUCCGAUACGGGGCCAUAGCUCAGCUGGGAGAGCGCCUGCUUUGCACGCAGGAGGUCAGGAGUUCGAUCCUCCUUGGCUCCACCAUCUAAAACAAUCGUCAAAAGCUCAAAAAUGAAUGUUCGUGAAUGAACAUUGAUUUCUGGUCUUUGCACUAAAACUGUUCUUUAAAAAUUCGGGUAUGUGAUAAAAGUAAAACUGAAUGAUCUCUUUCACUGGUGAUCAUUCAAGUCAAGGUAAAAUUUGCAAGUUCAAGCGCGAAUUUUCGGCAAAUGUCGUCUUCACAGUAUAACCAAAUUGCUUGGGGUUAUAUGGUCAAGUGAAGAAGCGCAUACGGUGGAUGCCUGGACGCCCAUUGAUUGCCUUUUCGUGCCCGUCUUACGAGAAAGACUACUUUCUCAAAUUUCUGCUUGAACUGAAAUUUACACCCAGCUGGAUGACCCCCACAUAAGUUAUUUUCUAGUUAUAUAUUGUUCGGCCCAGGCAUUCAAACAAUCUAGGUACGCAAACUAAAAACAAUAUUUUUCCCAAUAUAUGCCAAAUGAUAAGUAGGGUUCACUAGGAAACACACA